Molecule: ribosomal RNA, 257 nt
Filed under: uncultured bacterium
Lineage: Bacteria
Description: partial 16S ribosomal RNA
Rfam family: Bacterial small subunit ribosomal RNA
Source: RNAcentral
UACGUAGGGUGCAAGCGUUGUCCGGAAUUAUUGGGCGUAAAGAGCUCGUAGGCGGUUCGUCACGUCGGCUGUGAAAUCCCGAGGCUCAACCUCGGGUCUGCAGUCGAUACGGGCGGACUGGAGUACUGCAGGGGAGACUGGAAUUCCUGGUGUAGCGGUGAAAUGCGCAGAUAUCAGGAGGAACACCGGUGGCGAAGGCGGGUCUCUGGGCAGUAACUGACGCUGGAGGAAGCGAAAGGCGUGGGGAGGCGAACAGG